UUUUGUUUAAAUUUCAUUCUAUUAUUAAAUAAUAUAAUUGUUUUAAUUGAAAAAAUUUUCAAUUCUUAUUCUUUCUAAUAUAAAAAAGUAACUUCUUAAUAUUCUUUUCAAUAGAAUGGAGUCCCAUGUUUUCUGUUAAAACUUGCAUAUUAAAAAUACCAAAAAGCACUCUGUGAAAGUAAUCUGCUUAUACAGUAGACUCUUGCUAAUCUGGCCUCCAGCUCCAGCCAUGAUGUAAAAAAGAUGGAUUAUACAUUUUUGUGAAGUCAUGAGCAUGGGUUAUUUUUAGAUCGUUUGUUGCUAUCCAGGCAGUUUGUUAUUGUAAUUGCACAUGAAAGGUUUUAAUUUUGAUUUAGAAGCAAGGGACAAAUGGUGUGUAUGAUGUGUAUUGACCUUCAAUUAUGGCUUUAAAAAGAAAACAUAUGUUAGAUCUGGCACAGAAAUUGGAAAUUUUAGAGAAGUUAAAACAAAAUUCAUGGAUAUAAACAACAAAAAUAUCUUCCAUCGAUGGCAUAGUGUAACACUGAUAGAAAUCAUAAACUUCCCUUCUGGUGAUUUUACCAAAUCAACCCUUCUUUGAAGUCAGAUGAUAUACAAACUGUCUUUCUUCCAUCUAAUGUGACAGCCCCGAUUUAAUUUAUGGAUCAGAAAAUUUUGGAAUCAACUAAGUGCUGCUAUCAAAAUGCACUUCUUGCAUUAUUGUUGAAUUGAACAUGAAAGAUUCCACCAAGAGGUUAUUCUAAAGGCAUGGAAAACAAUCAGCAUUCUGCUAUUGGAAGUAUGGAAUAUUGUGCAGAACACAUCAUACAAAAGUGUUGGGAAAAAGUACGGCCUUUUGAUUAACACUGAGUUGGAUUCUGAUUAAGUGACAAUGAUAAAUCAGUAAAUUCAGAAACAUCAAUUUCAGAUGCUAUGAUUGUUGAAAUGUUCCACAAGAUUCCAGAAGUUGAUGAAGAUGACAUAACUAAAUGGCUGAAUGAGGAAAAUUGUGGAAUAGACCAGGUUUUGACAGAUGAAGAAAUCAUCAGAAGUAUGCAGGAAGAAAAAGUUGAAAGUGAUGAGGAAGAGGGCAAAGAGCAUGAAGAUUUCUUACAAUCCUGGUGCCAAAGCUGCUGACAUCUUCCAACAGUCUACAAUUUAACAAUUAGAUAUACAAUACUGGCAUAAUGCUAAUAAAGCAAUUUGCAUAAUAAAGCAUGCCAUAGAUGACAUCUUCAUUUAAAGCAGACAAAAAUCCAUGGAAAUGUUUUGAAUUGAUAGCAUUGAAUAGAAAGAUUCGUAAUUUCAUCUAUGUUGAAUUACAACUGUGUGUUUCUUUUACUGCAUGUAG
RNAcentral lists this long non-coding RNA (1330 nucleotides) under Androctonus crassicauda. The record is from RNAcentral. Lineage: Eukaryota; Metazoa; Arthropoda; Arachnida; Scorpiones; Buthidae.